Long non-coding RNA from Oncorhynchus tshawytscha (Chinook salmon), 1212 nucleotides. Lineage: Eukaryota; Metazoa; Chordata; Actinopteri; Salmoniformes; Salmonidae. The record is from Ensembl.
GUGGCAUAGUGUCAGGGUGGUAGAGUGGUAUAGUGUCAGGGUGGUAGAGUGUCAGGGUGGUAGAGUGUCAGGAUGGUAUAGUGUCAGGGUGGUAGAGUGUCAGGGUGGUAGAGUGGUAUAGUGUCAGGGUGGUAGAGUGGUAGAGUGUCAGGGUGGUAGAGUGUCAGGGUGGUAGCGUGUCAGGGUGGUAGAGUGUCAGGGUGGUAGAGUGCCAGGGUGGUACAGUGGUACGAUGACUAUCAUACCCUGUAGCAUGAAGCAAUAUAUUCACACUAUCAUAACCUGUAGAAUGAAGCAAUAUAUUCACACUAUCAUACCCUGUAGAAUGAAGCAACAGUCGUAUGGACAGAACUUAGUUGACAGUCAGGGUGGUAUAGUGUCAGGGUGGUAGAGUGUCAGGAUGGUAGAGUGUCAGGGUGGUAGAGUGUCAGGAUGGUAGAGUGUCAGGGUGGUAGAGUGGUAGAGUGUCAGGGUGGUAGAGUGGUAGAGUGUCAGGGUGGUAGAGUGUCAGGGUGGUAGAGUGUCAGGGUGGUAGAGUGUCAGGGUGGUAGAGUGUCAGGGUGGUAGAGUGGUAGAGUGUCAGGGUGGUAGAGUGUCAGGGUGGUAGAGUGUCAGGAUGGUAGAGUGUCAGGGUGGUAGAGUGGUAUAGUGUCAGGGUGGUAGAGUGUCAGGGUGGUACAGUGUCAGGGUGGUAGAGUAUGAGGGUGGUAGAGUAUGGGGGUGGUACGAUGUCAGGGUGGUAGAGUGUCAGGGUGGUAGAUUGGUAUGAUGUCAGGGUGGUAGAGUGUGAGGGUGGUACAAUGUCAGGGUGGUAGAUUGGUACGAUGUCAGGGUGGUAGAGUGUCAGGAUGGUAGAGUGUGAGGGUGGUGGGAUGUCAGGGUGGUGGAGUGUCAGGGUGGUACAGUGUGAGGGUGGUAGGAUGUCAGGGUGGUACAGUGUGAGGGUGGUAGGAUGUCAGGGUGGCAGAGUGUGAGGGUGGACACAGUCACACUCACCUUGCCUCCUUUGUCUGCACUGUAGAGCUGCAUGCACAGGGAGGCAGAGAGGAGAGGGGGAACAAGAGAAGAGAAGAGAAGAGAGCAUAUUGAGUUAGAGACAGUUGGAGGAGAGCAGGCCUGAUGGGAAAUAACCAGACAGCAGACAGUAUCAUGGUUAAAGGAAAUAACCAGACAGUACCAUGGUUAAAGGAAAUAACCAGACAGUACCGUGGU